GAUGAACGCUGGCGGCGUGCCUAAUACAUGCAAGUCGAGCGAACGGACGAGAAGCUUGCUUCUCUGAUGUUAGCGGCGGACGGGUGAGUAACACGUGGAUAACCUACCUAUAAGACUGGGAUAACUUCGGGAAACCGGAGCUAAUACCGGAUAAUAUUUUGAACCGCAUGGUUCAAAAGUAAAAGACGGUCUUGCUGUCACUUAUAGAUGGAUCCGCGCUGCAUUAGCUAGUUGGUAAGGUAACGGCUUACCAAGGCAACGAUGCAUAGCCGACCUGAGAGGGUGAUCGGCCACACUGGAACUGAGACACGGUCCAGACUCCUACGGGAGGCAGCAGUAGGGAAUCUUCCGCAAUGGGCGAACGCCUGACGGAGCAACGCCGCGUGAGUGAUGAAGGCCUUCGGAUCGUAAAACUCUGUUAUUAGGGAAGAACAUAUGUGUAAGUAACUGUGCACAUCUUGACGGUACCUAAUCAGAAAGCCACGGCUAACUACGUG
RNAcentral lists this ribosomal RNA (497 nucleotides) under uncultured bacterium. RNAcentral's name for it is "partial 16S ribosomal RNA". It matches the Rfam family "Bacterial small subunit ribosomal RNA", at positions 28 to 507 of the family's 1533-position model. The record is from RNAcentral.